This 403-nucleotide long non-coding RNA is filed under the name Sinocyclocheilus anshuiensis. RNAcentral describes it as "lncRNA (ENSSANG00000008066.1)". The record is from RNAcentral. Lineage: Eukaryota; Metazoa; Chordata; Actinopteri; Cypriniformes; Cyprinidae.
UGGUUCCUGGUGCCAGGUAGUGAAGGAGGGGGGAGUUCUCACUCCUAAAUGUGUGUGUCCAAAGACCUGCCCAUGGCAGGGGGCAGCAGUGUGCAGCGUUAUGGGGAAGACGUACAGCAACGAGUGUCUUCUUCACAAGGAGGCCUGCCGCAAAAAACGACGCAUUGGCAAUGGCAAGGCACAUAGUGGAGCUUGUCUGGUAAGCGAGGCUGAGUGCUCUGAGGAAGAGUUCGGUCAGUUCCCGUACCGUCUGCUGGACUGGUUCUUACUCCUCAGCAGAAUGGGAGAGAGAUACACACCAGCCGCUCCCUCUCAAAGCUGUCUCACACACACCCAGCGAACCCAACUUGCAGAGGUAAAACAAAGAAACACACUGAACUCACUCAAAUCAUUUACACAUAGG